CAAACAUGGAUUAGGCACUUAUCGGUUUUUUGUCUAUUGAAAAAGUAUUUUUAAUGCUAUUAUUUUGCAUUCACAGAAUUUCAGCACUGGAAGUGUUACAGGAUGGAAGAGUUGCCCUGUAGUUGAAAAAACACUGAGAGUGCAUUACUGUUAAGAAUCUUUCAUAGUGUCACAGCUAGAAGCCUCAAAUAAUUCUGCUUCUCUGGCUACAGAACAACUUGUCCUUUACGUUCAGAGUGUUGGUGAAGCUGGAUACUUAAAUGGCCCUAAAGAUGUUUCACUUUGCUGGCAUUGCAGCGAUGAACAUCAUACAUGGACUCUUUAGGAAAGGAUUUUCAUAUACUGGGAACAUAACUAUCAACAAUGCAACAUUCUAAGGGUGC
Daphnia carinata is the source of this 383-nucleotide long non-coding RNA. RefSeq lists it as uncharacterized. Lineage: Eukaryota; Metazoa; Arthropoda; Branchiopoda; Diplostraca; Daphniidae. The record is from RefSeq and is a predicted model, not a curated record. The transcript is spliced from 3 exons.